UACGUAGGUGGCAAGCGUUGUCCGGAUUUACUGGGCGUAAAGCGUGUGUAGGCGGACCUCUAAGUAGGAAGUGAAAGGUUGGAGCUCAACUCCAACACUGCUUCCUAUACUGGAGGUCUUGAGUGCCGGAGAGGAAGAUGGAACUGCACGUGUAGCGGUGAAAUGCGUUGAUAUGUGCAGGAACACCAAUGGCGAAGGCAAUCUUCUGGACGGAAACUGACGCUGAGACACGAAAGCCAAGGUAGCAAAC
RNAcentral lists this ribosomal RNA (250 nucleotides) under uncultured bacterium. Its description in RNAcentral is "partial 16S ribosomal RNA". It matches the Rfam family "Bacterial small subunit ribosomal RNA", at positions 524 to 773 of the family's 1533-position model. The record is from RNAcentral.